UACGUAGGGUGCGAGCGUUAAUCGGAAUUACUGGGCGUAAAGCGUGCGCAGGCGGUUUGUUAAGUCUGAUGUGAAAGCCCCGGGCUCAACCUGGGAACUGCAUUGGAAACUGUCAAGCUCGAGUAUGGCAGAGGGGGGUGGAAUUCCGCGUGUAGCAGUGAAAUGCGUAGAGAUGCGGAGGAACACCGAUGGCGAAGGCAGCCCCCUGGGCCAAUACUGACGCUCAGGCACGAAAGCGUGGGGAGCAAACAGG
This 253-nucleotide ribosomal RNA is filed under the name uncultured bacterium. RNAcentral's name for it is "partial 16S ribosomal RNA". It matches the Rfam family "Bacterial small subunit ribosomal RNA", at positions 524 to 776 of the family's 1533-position model. The record is from RNAcentral.